Molecule: long non-coding RNA, 1253 nt
Organism: Manacus vitellinus (golden-collared manakin)
Lineage: Eukaryota; Metazoa; Chordata; Aves; Passeriformes; Pipridae
Exons: 2
Source: RefSeq, a predicted model, not a curated record
CUGGAGCGGACGGACGGACGGACGGACAGAUGGCCGGCAUCCCCGACGGAGGGAUGUUUCUGUCUUUGGUUAUCUAGCUGUAUGAGUGUUGUGGAGCCAUCAUAAAGCUAGAUAACCGAAAGUAGAAAUGACUUCCAGACCUGCUCGCCCGGGGGAAGCGGCCGCACCAGGACCGGCGGUGCAGAGACGGCCCGACUCGCCGCCUUGGGGCUCCAGGGCCAGCAAAGCACCGCCAUAACCACAGUAAGGAAAAAGGAUCUCAGCCUGAAUUUGGCUAUACCGGGAGAAAGAAAAGUUCUGAGGAGCUGUUAUUAUAUAUUCUAAUGAGAAGUCAUUGGAGAAAUUAAAAAGGGCAGAGAAAGACGAAGACGCCAGCACUAAUUCCGCAGGAAGCCUCCCAGGGAAAAGGCUGUGUGAGUGUGAACGCUGAAAAGCAUGAAGGCCUGGAAUUAGACUAUCAUUUAGAAAGCGUUACUAAUCCGAAGUUACAGCAGUAAUUCCAUGAUUUGCUGGGUCCCACACGCAGCGCCAGAAUUAAAGAUACGGAUUUUCUAGAAAUGUAACUCAACUGUGGCACCGAGUCUCGGGAAGAUCCGAAUGAAUCAUUCAUUCCAAAGGCAGCGAAAGACGUGUCAUUAAGAACCAUCCUCCUUCUCUCCAGCCCAUCUGGAAUAUGUAUACUCGAUGCAAUCCCAGAAAUUGUGGAAGAGAUUGGAGGUGGGGAGGAGGGAAUGUAGUCCUUUCCCUCCUUUAUUAUGUUGGUUAUUUUUAAGAAAUAAUUUUCCAAUUAUUUUCACAAUAUUGUGAGUGGUGCUCAAUUCUUCUCCUAUUUAUUUUUUUCCCCCUUUCCUACGCCAGCAUCGAGUCAGGUGCAAGCGGUUUCAGUGGAGAUGCUUUAAAACUAGACUGAACAAAGCAGGAGGGAACUGAGCAAGGUGGUUGAUGAAUGCAUUUAUUCCGGAGUAAUGAUUUGAUGGGGGAUGGAGGAAAGAAACAUUCAAAUUCCUAAUGAAUAUAAUUCAGGAGGAAUCAUUCAACCAGCGUGUUAGAGAAAAUCUGUUUGGUGGGAGUGUUUCUGCACUGGCAGAACCCAGGAGGUAUUUCUGUCCUUGGCUUUUGUAAUUGCAAAAGGUGAAAAUAUAAAAAGAGGAUCUGAGGAAAAAAAAAUAUACACACAUAUAAUAAAUGUCUUUGUGUGUGUGUAUAUAAAUACAUAUAUAUAUAUAAUUUCAUGAAAUAAAAUGCAAGUGUGG